CGGCGUGCUUAACACAUGCAAGUCGAACGCGAAAGGGACUUCGGCCCUGAGUAAAGUGGCGCACGGGUGAGUAACGCGUAGAUAACCUGUCUUCAUGUCUGGAAUAAUACGCCGAAAGGGGUACUAAUACCGGAUAUUCUUGCUUUUCAUAAGUUAUGCAAGCAAAGGUGGCCUCUGCAUAUGCUACUGCAUGAAGAGGGGUCUGCGUACCAUUAGCUAGUAGGUGGGGUAAUGGCCUACCUAGGCGACGAUGGUUAGCGGGUCUGAGAGGAUGAUCCGCCACACUGGCACUGGAACACGGGCCAGACUCCUACGGGAGGCAGCAGUGAGGAAUAUUGCGCAAUGGGGGAAACCCUGACGCAGCGACGCCGCGUGAGUGAAGGAAGGCCUUCGGGUCGUAAAGCUCUGUCAAGAGGAAAGAAGUGUACAAUGGCUAAUACCUGUUGUAUUUGACGGUACCUCUAAAGGAAGCACCGGCUAACUCCGUGCCAGCAGCGGC
Molecule: ribosomal RNA, 499 nt
Filed under: uncultured bacterium
Lineage: Bacteria
Description: bacterial SSU rRNA
Rfam family: Bacterial small subunit ribosomal RNA
Source: RNAcentral